Molecule: ribosomal RNA, 965 nt
Filed under: Escherichia coli
Lineage: Bacteria; Pseudomonadati; Pseudomonadota; Gammaproteobacteria; Enterobacterales; Enterobacteriaceae
Description: partial 23S ribosomal RNA
Rfam family: Bacterial large subunit ribosomal RNA
Source: RNAcentral
GUUAAUGAGGCGAACCGGGGGAACUGAAACAUCUAAGUACCCCGAGGAAAAGAAAUCAACCGAGAUUCCCCCAGUAGCGGCGAGCGAACGGGGAGGAGCCCAGAGCCUGAAUCAGUGUGUGUGUUAGUGGAAGCGUCUGGAAAGGCGCGCGAUACAGGGUGACAGCCCCGUACACAAAAAUGCACAUAUUGUGAGCUCGAUGAGUAGGGCGGGACACGUGGUAUCCUGUCUGAAUAUGGGGGGACCAUCCUCCAAGGCUAAAUACUCCUGACUGACCGAUAGUGAACCAGUACCGUGAGGGAAAGGCGAAAAGAACCCCGGCGAGGGGAGUGAAAAAGAACCUGAAACCGUGUACGUACAAGCAGUGGGAGCCUCUUAAUGGGGUGACUGCGUACCUUUUGUAUAAUGGGUCAGCGACUUAUAUUCUGUAGCAAGGUUAACCGAAUAGGGGAGCCGAAGGGAAACCGAGUCUUAACUGGGCGUUAAGUUGCAGGGUAUAGACCCGAAACCCGGUGAUCUAGCCAUGGGCAGGUUGAAGGUUGGGUAACACUAACUGGAGGACCGAACCGACUAAUGUUGAAAAAUUAGCGGAUGACUUGUGGCUGGGGGUGAAAGGCCAAUCAAACCGGGAGAUAGCUGGUUCUCCCCGAAAGCUAUUUAGGUAGCGCCUCGUGAAUUCAUCUCCGGGGGUAGAGCACUGUUUCGGCAAGGGGGUCAUCCCGACUUACCAACCCGAUGCAAACUGCGAAUACCGGAGAAUGUUAUCACGGGAGACACACGGCGGGUGCUAACGUCCGUCGUGAAGAGGGAAACAACCCAGACCGCCAGCUAAGGUCCCAAAGUCAUGGUUAAGUGGGAAACGAUGUGGGAAGGCCCAGACAGCCAGGAUGUUGGCUUAGAAGCAGCCAUCAUUUAAAGAAAGCGUAAUAGCUCACUGGUCGAGUCGGCCUGCGCGGAAGAUGUAA